UAAGCGUUCACGUUAGGGUCACACAAUCAAUUACCUCCUGAAUGUAUUGUCUCUAUUUUCAAUAUCUGAACACACAAGGAAACUAUAAUCUCCUCCGUCACCUUAUCGGUCUCUUCCUUAUAGCAAUUUAGUCAUAUCAAUAACUGCUAUUUCCACCAAUAUAUUCACCCUCAUAAUCUCCAAUUGUAAUACUGUGCUCUCACAGCUUUUAGCACACAAUUAUCCUCGUUCCAAUCAUUGGAAUUCUUCACAUAGAACUGCCAUUCAUAUUACAGUGUUUCACACAAAUACAAAUCUAUUCUCUCUGCUAAACUACAAUCAGAUUUCAACAUUCAAUCUUUCUUCUUCUCAAAUAAUACCAAUCACAUUUCCAUUCCAUAAUUCAUUUCACAAUAUUCAAAAACUUUCAAUCCUCUUAUUCAAAGAAAAUAACAAAUAAAAGAAAAGAGGUAGCACCAAGCUUACCCCAGCUCACAACUAUCAUAGUCUGUGCCUCAGCUUACGACUCUCAUAGUCUGGCAUUUUCUUCCCCUCUCCCAUCCUCCUUAUACUAUCUCGAGAUACCAACUCCUAUACUAUAGAUGAUAACUACUUUUCCUGACUAUUCAUCCAUUCUACCUACUGAACCACCUUUUCAACAGUUAUCUAUCGCUGUUAUAACUAUACACUACGUAUCUACAUUCUGAAAAUAAUUACUUAUUCUACAAUUAGUCUUCAAAGACUCAUCUGACUAUGUAAGACUUAUCCUAUCCUCUUUAAAAUAUAUAAUACCAUCCUUAAUUGUAGCCUUAUGGUUGUCACAUUCACCACGCUUAUGAUUUGGAUUAUCACACUACAUACAUCUUUCUACAAACUUCUUUGACCCUUCAAUUGUCUUUGAUGAGUUUGCUAUUUGGAAUUUCUUCAAUCCAAUCAUUUC
This 919-nucleotide long non-coding RNA is filed under the name Physcomitrium patens. RNAcentral describes it as "long non-coding RNA (PPAT_LNC011703)". The record is from RNAcentral. Lineage: Eukaryota; Viridiplantae; Streptophyta; Bryopsida; Funariales; Funariaceae.